UUCGUCAAGCCUCGAAUCUCCGCUAUGGACUCUUCCACGUUGCAGAGUGGUUGUGUAGGCAAUUCAAGCUCAACACCAUCAUUUCCAUCUAUUGAGAUGACUGCCGGUUUACAUGUCAUUAACUUGAUUUGGAGGAGCUUCAGAGAGAGAAUGUUUUUGUCCAAGGUUUUGAGGCAGCAAGAAACAUACCAAGUAACACCACUGCCUAGACUAGUGUUUAGCAGUCUAGCACUCUCCCGGCCUCGCAGCAUCACUCUUUCCCUGUUAAUUUGGACUUUUGUGUUUUCAUUGGACAUGUGUUGUUUAAUUUUCUGUAUAAGAUUUUGGACGUUGUUGGCUUGUUGCAUUUGAACUUUUGAACUUUUGAUCUUGCUUGUUUAUGGCUUUAUG
Molecule: RNA transcript, 390 nt
Organism: Fragaria vesca subsp. vesca
Lineage: Eukaryota; Viridiplantae; Streptophyta; Magnoliopsida; Rosales; Rosaceae
Exons: 3
Source: RefSeq, a predicted model, not a curated record